This 253-nucleotide ribosomal RNA is filed under the name uncultured bacterium. RNAcentral describes it as "partial 16S ribosomal RNA". It matches the Rfam family "Bacterial small subunit ribosomal RNA", at positions 524 to 776 of the family's 1533-position model. The record is from RNAcentral.
UACGUAGGGUGCAAGCGUUGUCCGGAAUUAUUGGGCGUAAAGAGCUCGUAGGCGGUCUGUCGCGUCUGCUGUGAAAACCUGGGGCUUAACCCCGGGCCUGCAGUGGGUACGGGCAGACUAGAGUGUGGUAGGGGAGACUGGAAUUCCUGGUGUAGCGGUGAAAUGCGCAGAUAUCAGGAGGAACACCGGUGGCGAAGGCGGGUCUCUGGGCCAUAACUGACGCUGAGGCGCGAAAGCUAGGGGAGCAAACAGG